This 81-nucleotide non-coding RNA is filed under the name human gut metagenome. RNAcentral describes it as "Glycine riboswitch". It matches the Rfam family "Glycine riboswitch aptamer", at positions 9 to 86 of the family's 94-position model. Rfam says of the family: This family represents the bacterial glycine riboswitch. The record is from RNAcentral.
AAACUCUGGAGAAUCCCUUUUUAGGGUGCCGAAGGUGCAAGACCAUGUGGUCGAAUCUCUCAGGCUAAAGGACAGAGCGGG